GGAAUUGUAGUUCAAUUGGUCAGAGCACCGCCCUGUCAUGGCGGAAGCUACGUGUUCGAGCCCCGUCAGUGCCG
Non-coding RNA from Nicotiana sylvestris (wood tobacco), 74 nucleotides. The record is from Rfam. NCBI's taxonomy places the organism in Eukaryota, Viridiplantae, Streptophyta, Magnoliopsida, Solanales, Solanaceae.